UCCGGUUUGUCACCGGCAGUCUCAUUAGAGUCCCCAGCUUUACCUGUUGGCAACUAAUGAUAGGGGUUGCGCUCGUUACGGGACUUAACCCAACACCUCACGGCACGAGCUGACGACAGCCAUGCAGCACCUAGUUUCGUGUCAUUGCUGACGCAAACGUUUCUGCUUGCUUCACUAACUUUCAAGCCCAGGUAAGGUUCCUCGCGUAUCAUCGAAUUAAACCACAUGCUCCUCCGCUUGUGCGGGCCCCCGUCAAUUCCUUUGAGUUUCAACCUUGCGGUCGUACUUCCCAGGUGGAUCACUUAAUGCUUUCGCUCAGACGCGUACAGUGUAUCGCACACAUCGAGUGAUCAUCGUUUAGGGCGUGGACUAC
This 373-nucleotide unclassified non-coding RNA is filed under the name uncultured Sphingobacteriales bacterium. RNAcentral describes it as "contains 16S-23S intergenic spacer region". Lineage: Bacteria; Pseudomonadati; Bacteroidota; Sphingobacteriia; Sphingobacteriales. The record is from RNAcentral.